RNAcentral lists this transfer RNA (63 nucleotides) under Rattus norvegicus (Norway rat). It matches the Rfam family "tRNA". Rfam says of the family: Transfer RNA (tRNA) molecules are approximately 80 nucleotides in length. Lineage: Eukaryota; Metazoa; Chordata; Mammalia; Rodentia; Muridae. The record is from Rfam by way of RNAcentral.
GGGGAUUUAGCUUAGCGGUAGAGCGCUUGCCUAGCAAGCGCAAGGCCCUGGGUUCAGUCCCCA